UUCGAUGUCGGCUCUUCCUAUCA
Molecule: non-coding RNA, 23 nt
Filed under: Arabidopsis thaliana (thale cress)
Lineage: Eukaryota; Viridiplantae; Streptophyta; Magnoliopsida; Brassicales; Brassicaceae
Also listed under: 5 other names
Source: RNAcentral